ACUUGCUUUGUUAUGGUGAAUCAGCUGAUGGGUGAAGAUGGCGACGCUGUACCUCGGGCUGCGGCUAAAAUCCCGCACACAGGAACGCGUAACCCUCGACAAUGUGGACUUGAACGAUACAGUGGACUCCGUGAGGCAGAAGGCAGCCGCCCAGAGCAAUACCACGCCGGAGAAAAUUGAGUUGGUGCACUGCGGUGUGGUGCUGAAAGGCUCAGACUCCCUGAGUGACGCAGGGAUAACCUCAGGCUCCAUGAUCCACUGCUUCCCCAGGAGUGAGCGCUCUGUUCCUGGUGCCGCUCCACUCAGUCUUCCCGAGGUUCAAACGCUCCUGGUGGCACUGAGAAAUGUCACGUCCAGGCCAAACUUCCGAGACUUUGUCCAGAAGCUGCGCAGACCAGACAUGGUAGAAAAGAUCCUGGCCUCUUGUCCCAUUGUCCGGCAUGACCCUGCAGCCUUGGCCAUGCUGCAGGACCCAGAACUCUUCCUGGGACUCACCAAUCCAGAUAAUCUCACCAAGUUAGUUGAGUCGUGGCCUGAAGUGGGUCGGGUGGCUCAGUACGUCACCUCCCUCAGCCCCAGUGAAGCGCCAUCUCCCCGUCGCUCACACCACGUCUCAUACUCUAUGGACGCCCUGUCAGACGAUGACCAGAUGGAGGCAGACCAGUCUGAAGACUCAACUGGUGGUGGAGACAGUCGGGCAAGUGGCUCGGUGCCCUUCCAGCCAAUCACACCAGCUCAGUUGGCUGCUGCCCUUGCUAGUGCCACAGUCUUUGCACUCACAGGAGGUGGUGGUGGUGGUGGUGGCGGCAGCAGCAGCAGCACCAAUAAUGGUGGUGUACCAGGGCAGCCCACCAGUGCCCCACGCAGCAUACCCACCACCCCAUCCAUUGCCACCACUACACCCUUCAACACACCAGCCUUCUCGGUCGGUGGCCCCACUGGUCCAGGGCCCAUCACCCAGGAGAUGUUUAGCAAUGCUCUACAAAAUGCCUUGGCUGCCUCGGCUAGCAGGUCUGUCUCUUCCCAGGCUUCAGGACCUCCCUCCUCUGCCUCUUCGGGUCCUCCAUCCACUGUUCAGAUCCCCAACAUUGAAGAAUCUCUACAGCUUAUGAGGGAAAUGGGAAUUCCUAAUGAGGACCUCAGCAGAGAAGCACUACAGGCCACCAAUGGGGAUGUGCAGGCAGCUGUUAAUCUUAUAUUUGCUCAGUGGAUGGCAGAUGACUAGGACUGUGGAUGUGUUGAAUGGAUGGAUGAAUUUCAGCAUGUGAAAAUUCAUCAGGAGUUAUGAAUGAAACUUACACUUCCAGCUGGUGAUGGACAGAGUAACACCACUUAGAGUAAGAACUGCAAAGCAAAAUUACACAGCUAAGGCAGGUGGGAACAAACUAUCUGGUCUUUAUUUUGUUAAAGUUGUUCAUACCUUUCACAAUCAUUGGUUAUGCACUAUGUUUCAUGACUGAGAAGGCUUGUAGUUUGUGAAGGAAAAUGUUUAUUGAUAGAUUUCCUAAAAGCACGUAUAUUUCUGACUGGGACAUGAAAGAUAGUGACCAUUAGAGUCCCCUGUUAUAUUGCAUACUGUCUCCAUAUUUCUCUCUAUUGUUUGUGUGUAUAUUCUGUCUCUGGUUAACACUGGGCUAGGAACCUGCUUAUUCUUGUCAGUUCCUUUUCUUGCUGGACAAGCCACAAAAGAGGCUUGAAAUGUUCAUAGCUUGUGUGGCACCCAGCUUUGUGUAGGAGUGUUAUCCUUUGCCAAGUGUAUUCUUAUAAUCUUUGUCACUUCACUCAUUCCACAAGUCCACAAUUCAAAAUAUAUUGCUGUACUUUCAA
Portunus trituberculatus (swimming crab) is the source of this 1827-nucleotide RNA transcript. It is a transcript of the gene named ubiquitin-like protein 7, with no coding region annotated. Lineage: Eukaryota; Metazoa; Arthropoda; Malacostraca; Decapoda; Portunidae. The transcript has 9 exons. The record is from RefSeq and is a predicted model, not a curated record.